CUCCAUGUGUAGCGGUGGAAUGCGUAGAUAUAUGGAAGAACACCAGUGGCGAAGGCGGCUGUCUGGUCUGCAACUGACGCCGAGGCUCGAAAGCAUGGGUAGCGAACAGGAUUAGAUACCCUGGUAGUCCAUGCCGUAAACGAUGAGUGCUAGGUGUUGGAGGGUUUCCGCCCUUCAGUGCCGGAGCUAACGCAUUAAGCACUCCGCCUGGGGAGUACGACCGCAAGGUUGAAACUCAAAGGAAUUGACGGGGGCCCGCACAAGCGGUGGAGCAUGUGGUUUAAUUCGAAGCUACGCGAAGAACCUUACCAGGUCUUGACAUCUUGCGCUAACCUUAGAGAUAAGGCGUUCCCUUCGGGGACGCAAUGAC
Molecule: ribosomal RNA, 370 nt
Filed under: uncultured Lactobacillus sp.
Lineage: Bacteria; Bacillati; Bacillota; Bacilli; Lactobacillales; Lactobacillaceae
Description: bacterial SSU rRNA
Rfam family: Bacterial small subunit ribosomal RNA
Source: RNAcentral